Long non-coding RNA from Dama dama (fallow deer), 255 nucleotides. RefSeq lists it as uncharacterized. The record is from RefSeq and is a predicted model, not a curated record. The transcript has 3 exons. NCBI's taxonomy places the organism in Eukaryota, Metazoa, Chordata, Mammalia, Artiodactyla, Cervidae.
UCAUUGUCUCCAGCGCAUCUGUGUGGACAGCCGACGGCCGGCAAGCAGCGUCUCCGUGUCAGGAGCUCGGCACAGGUCUUGCCAAUGAACCAGCGAUGAGAAGAGUACAGCUGGUGAUACAGAUAAGAGAACAAAGAUGAACGAUGGGUAGCUGUGAUAUUAGGUAAGAGGAGACGUUUCAUCACCAUGGACAUUUGCAGAGUUGAUGGCUUGGAGCCCUUUCUGCUUCUUCGUGUCCAUCCCACCGAUUCUUCU